CAAGGAAUAGUUUAAGUAGAAUUUCAGCUUUGGGUGCUGAGGGUGGGGCUUAUGCUUCUUCCUUGAAA
RNAcentral lists this transfer RNA (68 nucleotides) under Prolemur simus (greater bamboo lemur). RNAcentral describes it as "tRNA-Pro". The record is from RNAcentral. Lineage: Eukaryota; Metazoa; Chordata; Mammalia; Primates; Lemuridae.